Molecule: transfer RNA, 77 nt
Filed under: Hydrogenophaga sp.
Lineage: Bacteria; Pseudomonadati; Pseudomonadota; Betaproteobacteria; Burkholderiales; Comamonadaceae
Description: tRNA-Pro
Source: RNAcentral
CGGAGCGUAGCGCAGCCUGUUAGCGCAUCUGCUAUGGGAGCAGAGGGAAGCGACUUCUAAUCCCGCCGCUCAGACCA